UAACCUAAAGGACUUGGUUCCUCAACACAAUUUUGUGUUAAAUUGAACCAAACACAAAACCGUAGGUUAAUAUCUGAUCAUUAGACAUCAGCCAAAGAAGACAGGGUCCUGCCAAACUUAUGUACUCUUGUUUCCCUCCACGUACUUAGAAGUGCAUGGCGACUUGCGAGUGGCUAGCGGCUAGCGCAUUGGAUUACCACGGAUGUGCUCCAGGGUCGAUCCUGACCGCUGGCGAGUAAUUUUCAACGAGAACCUCACAGAUACACAUUUGUCGCAUACAAGCAGCCAGGCGAAGAACCUAUUAAAUUUGAUGAGUCGCGAUUGAAUGACACGCAAAUUCUUGAGCGAGAAAAAUUAUCAAACUUCUCAGCCAAGAACAUAGCGAAGAAAUAUGGUCUCAGGAACGCUGGUAUCAACUUCUUCCUAGUGAGCCACAGACGGCCUUACGUCAAUGAUGACUAUUUAAUAGACAUAGAAUAUUGGGAUGACUGAUUCCUCGCUUUGUCAAGACCUAUUAUUUGCUUUCAGACAAGUUUGGGAGCGAGAGGUUUUCAGGAAUUUUUCUGCAAUAUACCUACAAUGUAAAUACAACCUUACACCGGUAGCGAUCAACUUCUUCCUUGUGGAUCAGAAAGAAAUCUAUAUCUGGAUGACAACACAGACUUAGAAUCCUUGGCGGCUUUUCAAAUCGGAGCGGUCACCUCUCCAAAUAAAGAAAAUCAUUACGAUAAUUACUGAGAUUUUACCCGUGUGCUUUUAAAAUCCUUCAUUCACUUAAAAUUACACAUAGAAGGGGAAAAUUUAGAAAAAAUAAAAACAGAAGAAAAUAAAUGAAAUUCACUUUAUUCAUAAUGGCCUCAGUUUGAAAGAAGUUACUAGCAGGUCCUUUUAAAUUUCAGCUGCUCCGACUGCACGCUGAUUUUAGGAACCGAAAACUUCAGUGGCAAAAUGUUUUGUGCUGUUAUUUUAUACAUGUAUUCCACAAAUAUAGAUUGUUAAUUUUGUAAACUCCUUCUAUCAAAUGUUCCUCCUGUUAAGCUCAGUAAUUUAUUAGCUGACUCAAAACUUCUAUCGUGCGAAAUUUAUUUGGGUGGCGUUUGGACUUAAGCCAUUUUCCCCCCGUUUUUCGGUUUUUUAC
Non-coding RNA from Bemisia tabaci, 1138 nucleotides. NCBI's taxonomy places the organism in Eukaryota, Metazoa, Arthropoda, Insecta, Hemiptera, Aleyrodidae. The record is from RefSeq and is a predicted model, not a curated record.